This 62-nucleotide transfer RNA is filed under the name Zophoscolex ibericus. RNAcentral describes it as "tRNA-Leu". Lineage: Eukaryota; Metazoa; Annelida; Clitellata; Crassiclitellata; Lumbricidae. The record is from RNAcentral.
AGUGAGUUGGCAGAAUAGUGCAACCGACUUAGGAUCGGUAAAUGGAGUAACCCACUCACUAC